UUGAUCCUGGCUCAGGAUAAACGCUGGCGGCGUGCUUAAUACAUGCAAGUCGAACGGAAAUNUUCGGAUUUUAGUGGCGAACGGGUGAGUAACACGUAAGUAACCUGCCUUUAAGACGAGGAUAACAAUUGGAAACAGUUGCUAAGACUGGAUAGGAAAUUAGAAGGCAUCDDUDAADUUUUUAAAGACNUUUUACGAAAGGUAUAAUDAAAGAGGGGCDUGCGGCACAUUAGUUAGUUGGUAGGGUAAAAGCCUACCAAGACUAUGAUGUGUAGCUGGACUGAGAGGUUGAACAGCCACAUUGGGACUGAGACACGGCCCGAACUCAUACGGGGAGCAAGCAAGUACGGAAUUUCAGCAAUGGAGGAAACUCUGACCGAGCAACGCCGCGUGAACGAUGAAGUAUUUCCGGUAUGUAAAGUUCUUUUAUUGAAGAAGAAAAAAUAGUGGAAAAACUAUCUUGACGAUAUUCAAUGAAUAAGCCCCGGCAAACUAUGUGCCAGCAGCCGCGGUAAUACAUAGGGGGCGAGCGUUAUCCGGAAUUAUUGGGCGUAAAGGGUGCGUAGGCGGUUUGGUAAGUCUAUAGUUUAAUUUCAGUGCUUAACACUGUUCUGCUAUAGAAACUAUCAGACUAGAGUGAGAUAGAGGCAAGUGGAAUUCCAUGUGUAGCGGUAAAAUGCGUAAAUAUAUGGAGGAACACCAGAGGCGUAGGCGGCUUGCUGGGUCUUAACUGACGCUGAGGCACGAAAGCGUGGGGAGCAAACAGGAUUAGAUACCCUGGUAGUCCACGCCGUAAACGAUGAGUACUAAGUGUCGGGGAAACUCGGUACUGAAGUUAACACAUUAAGUACUCCGCCUGAGUAGUACGUACGCAAGUAUGAAACUUAAAGGAAUUGACGGGACUCCGCACAAGCGGUGGAUCAUGUUGUUUAAUUCGAAGAUACACGAAAAACCUUACCAGGUCUUGACAUACUCUGCAAAGCUAUAGCAAUAUAGUGUAGGUUACCAGGGAUACAGGUGGUGCAUGGUUGUCGUCAGCUCGUGUCGUGAGAUGUUAGGUUAAGUCCUAAAACGAGCGCAACCCUUGUCACUAGUUGCCAGCAUGUUAUGAUGGGCACUUUAGUGAGACUGCCAAUGAAAAAUUGGAGGAAGGUGAGGAUCACGUCAAAUCAUCAUGCCCCUUAUGAUCUGGGCUACAAACGUGAUACAAUGGCUGUUACAAAGAGUAGCUAAAACGCGAGUUUAUAGCCAAUCUCAUAAAAGCAGUCUCAGUUCGGAUUGAAGUCUGCAACUCGACUUCAUGAAGUUGGAAUCGCUAGUAAUCGCGAAUCAGCAUGUCGCGGUGAAUACGUUCUCGGGGUUUGUACACACCGCCCGUNAAANCACGAAAGUUGGUAAUACUNAAAAACGGUAGCCUAACUUCUUCGGAAGAGGAACCGUCUAAGGUAGG
This 1450-nucleotide ribosomal RNA is filed under the name Candidatus Phytoplasma cynodontis. RNAcentral describes it as "bacterial SSU rRNA". It matches the Rfam family "Bacterial small subunit ribosomal RNA". Lineage: Bacteria; Bacillati; Mycoplasmatota; Mollicutes; Acholeplasmatales; Acholeplasmataceae. The record is from RNAcentral.